AUUUAAGUAGUUUAUUUAAAAUAUUGAUUUGUGGUGUCAAUGAAGUAGAAUUUUUACCUUAGAUC
RNAcentral lists this transfer RNA (65 nucleotides) under Phlugiolopsis tribranchis. RNAcentral's name for it is "tRNA-His". Lineage: Eukaryota; Metazoa; Arthropoda; Insecta; Orthoptera; Tettigoniidae. The record is from RNAcentral.